GGUUAAGCGACUAAGCGUACACGGUGGAUGCCCUGGCAGUCAGAGGCGAUGAAGGACGUGCUAAUCUGCGAAAAGCGCCGGCGAGGUGAUAUGAACCCUUGACCCGGCGAUGUCCGAAUGGGGAAACCCAGUGUGUUCCGACACACUAUCGUUAACUGAAUACAUAGGUUAACGAGGCGAACCGGGGGAACUGAAACAUCUAAGUACCCCGAGGAAAAGAAAUCAACCGAGAUUCCCCCAGUAGCGGCGAGCGAACGGGGAGCAGCCCGGAGUCUGAAUCAGCUUGUGUGUUAGUGGAACGGUCUGGAAAGUCCGACGGUACAGGGUGAUAGUCCCGUACACGAAAACACACUUGCUGUGAACUCGAAGAGUAGGGCGGGACACGUGGUAUCCUGUCUGAAUAUGGGGGGACCAUCCUCCAAGGCUAAAUACUCCUGACUGACCGAUAGUGAACCAGUACCGUGAGGGAAAGGCGAAAAGAACCCCGGCGAGGGGAGUGAAAAAGAACCUGAAACCGUGUACGUACAAGCAGUGGGAGC
RNAcentral lists this ribosomal RNA (539 nucleotides) under Enterobacter hormaechei. Its description in RNAcentral is "partial 23S ribosomal RNA". It matches the Rfam family "Bacterial large subunit ribosomal RNA", at positions 1 to 580 of the family's 2925-position model. RNAcentral also lists the same sequence under 2 other names. Lineage: Bacteria; Pseudomonadati; Pseudomonadota; Gammaproteobacteria; Enterobacterales; Enterobacteriaceae. The record is from RNAcentral.